UCCAGCGUGGCGCGCAGGUCGGGCUCGGGCACGCCGGCGGCCUGGCGCAGCUCGCCGAUGCGUCCUUCGAGGUCCGAGAUCUCCCGCAGGAG
This 92-nucleotide transfer RNA is filed under the name Actinomadura citrea. RNAcentral's name for it is "tRNA-Arg". The record is from RNAcentral. Lineage: Bacteria; Bacillati; Actinomycetota; Actinomycetes; Streptosporangiales; Thermomonosporaceae.